GACGAACGCUGGCGGCGUGCUUAACACAUGCAAGUCGAACGGAGCACCCUCGAAUGAGACUUCGGUCAAAGGAAAGGAAUGCUUAGUGGCGGACUGGUGAGUAACGCGUGAGGAACCUGCCUUUCAGAGGGGGACAACAGUUGGAAACGACUGCUAAUACCGCAUGACGCAUUCGGAUGGCAUCAUCUGAAUGCAAAAGAUUUAUCGCUGAAAGAUGGCCUCGCGUCUGAUUAGAUAGUUGGCGGGGUAACGGCCCGCCAAGUCGACGAUCAGUAGCCGGACUGAGAGGUGGACCGGCCACAUUGGGAAUGAGAUACGGCUCAGACUCCUACGGGAGGCAGCAGUGGGGAAUAUUGGGCAAUGGGCGCAAGCCUGACCCAGCAACGCCGCGUGAAGGAAGAAGGCUUUCGGGUUGUAAACUUCUUUUAAGAGGGAAGAGCAGAAGACGGUACCUCUUGAAUAAGCCACGGCUAACUACGUGCCAGCCGCCGCGGUAA
RNAcentral lists this ribosomal RNA (497 nucleotides) under uncultured bacterium. Its description in RNAcentral is "partial 16S ribosomal RNA". It matches the Rfam family "Bacterial small subunit ribosomal RNA", at positions 28 to 523 of the family's 1533-position model. The record is from RNAcentral.